Molecule: long non-coding RNA, 1492 nt
Organism: Thamnophis elegans (Western terrestrial garter snake)
Lineage: Eukaryota; Metazoa; Chordata; Lepidosauria; Squamata; Natricidae
Exons: 2
Source: RefSeq, a predicted model, not a curated record
GCUGCGCGCGCGUGGCGCCCGGAGGUGGUGGGGGAGCGGAGUUGGUAAGGCGGCUGGGGGUAGUUUUGCAGAGGCGACAAUGGGGCAAAAUCGGGAAUGUGCGUUCUUUUCUAGACACAUCCACGUGAGAAAAGAGGGUGGGGGAACACCCCGGUGGAAUUCGCUGAGGCCUAUUUCCGGGCACGCAUAUCGUCAGAAUAGCUGGAAUGAUUACUACAUUGUGGUUUCGGAUCUUAAAGAGGAAAGUUCCAACAGCAGUCAAAACAAAAGUUUCAGCAUGACUUUGGCAUGUGAAGCCAUUCACUGAUUGAAGAGUAAGAUAACUCCAGAGUUAGUCAUCCAGACCUGGAUUUUCCCAGAACUUCAAAGACUCGACCAGAAGCCGUAUAUAAAAGGGCAAUAUGCUAACACAAUCAAGACUAAUCAAACUUAUCUGGUUACCGGAUAGCAAUCAAAAUUAGUUUGGUUAGUAUAACAGUUGAUAGGUAUUCACAAAUGUCAUAAAAGUUUUGCAGAAUAAAUUUAGGAUUUCUACAUGAUAGUCUAUAAAUAUGAAUCAUCAUUCUUAUCAGCUAAAGUCUUAAUUUGAGUUACUUAAAUGAACUGCUUUUUUUUUUAAAAAAAAAUCUGGAAUAAUUUGUAUAUUUAAUCCCAAAAAUUUCCCAAUGGCUCAUUUUAGAAAGAGGGAAAAAUCAUAGGCAUCCUCAGUGGGACUGAAAGUAGACAAAUGAACUCCACAUAUGUCAUGACAUAGGGACACAAUUGACACCAGUGAUACGAUGCAACUUACACAAAUGUAAAAAUGUCAUUUGCGUGAUGAUAUGAGAUCACAAUAGCUUCUUCUGUUGAGCAUCUGUACUACAACAAGAAGCAUUCCGGUAAAUAUGUUUUUUUACCUGAUUAGUGCCACCCCGUUCCCAUGAAAGGAACCAGAUAGGCUUUCCUUUAUAGGAAAUACUAAUUGUGCUGCAUAAUAAGAAAAAAAAUGUGGUUAUACAAAUUAAUGCCCAUCCUGGAGGUUCAAGGCAUUGUGAACUAUACAGUUGUGGAAAUACAUCACUGUAAACGUUUGCAAAAAUUGCAAAAUCAUGUAACUCUUAGUUGGUUAGAAAUAAUAAGGGGAUCAAGUGCUUGUUAUGUUGAUAUUAGGAAUGCUUUGUGUUAAACUAUAAAGGAAAAAGUCAGGUAUCUUAAGAAACAUGAAGUGAUAUAUCAAAUUCUGUUAGAAUUCAAGACAAAGCCCAAUCACAACAAUAGAUACGAGUCCUGAAGAUUUCAAGUCACUUCAAGAAUCUCUCUAUGGAGAAAGCAAAGGGUGUUUAUAUUCACAAAGCAGAAUAUAAAUUCAAAUGCGUUUUGAUUUAAAAGAAACGAAGGCUAGUUUAUUAAUGUUCACAUAGAGAGUAUGUAAUAUUUUUAUUGCAGAAUCCAUUUACUGAAUUUGCAAUGCUAUUUAAGCUAAUGGGUAAAAAAUAUAUUGGCAUCAUUGAGA